RNAcentral lists this signal recognition particle RNA (288 nucleotides) under Cebus imitator (Panamanian white-faced capuchin). Its description in RNAcentral is "Metazoan signal recognition particle RNA (ENSCCAG00000002575.1)". It matches the Rfam family "Metazoan signal recognition particle RNA". Rfam says of the family: The signal recognition particle (SRP) is a universally conserved ribonucleoprotein. It is involved in the co-translational targeting of proteins to membranes. The record is from RNAcentral. Lineage: Eukaryota; Metazoa; Chordata; Mammalia; Primates; Cebidae.
ACUGAGUGCAGUGGUGCAUGCCUGUAGUCCCUGCUCUUCAGGAGGCUGAGGCAGGAGGAUCGCUUGGGCUGUAGUGCACUAUGCUGCUCUGGUGUCCACACUAAGUUUAGCGUUAAUAUGGUGACCUCCUGGGGGCAGGGGAUCACCAGGUUACCUAAAGAGGGGUGAGCCAGCCCAGGUCAGAAAUUAAGCAGGUCAAAACUCCCAUGCUGAUGAGUAGUGGGAUCAUACCUGUGAAUAGACAGACACUGUGCUCCAGCCUGGGCAACAUAGUGAGACCCUAUAUCU